CCCUUAGAUGUUCUGGGCCGCACGCGCGCUACACUGACGAAUGCAACGAGCUUAUAACCUUGGCCGAAAGGUCUGGGUAAUCUCCAAAUUUCGUCGUGAUGGGGAUAGAUUAUUGCAAUUAUUAAUCUUCAACGAGGAAUGCCUAGUAAGCGCAAGUCAUCAGCUUGCGUUGAUUACGUCCCUGCCCUUUGUACACACCGCCCGUCGCUCCUACCGAUUGAGUGUUCCGGUGAAUUAUUCGGACUGCAACAGUUAUCUGUCGCGGAAAGUCUUGUGAACCUUAACACUUAGAGGAAGGAAAAGUCGUAACA
RNAcentral lists this ribosomal RNA (311 nucleotides) under uncultured eukaryote. RNAcentral's name for it is "partial 18S ribosomal RNA". It matches the Rfam family "Eukaryotic small subunit ribosomal RNA", at positions 1470 to 1796 of the family's 1831-position model. The record is from RNAcentral.